Molecule: ribosomal RNA, 433 nt
Filed under: Salmonella enterica subsp. enterica serovar Derby
Lineage: Bacteria; Pseudomonadati; Pseudomonadota; Gammaproteobacteria; Enterobacterales; Enterobacteriaceae
Also listed under: 2 other names
Description: bacterial SSU rRNA
Rfam family: Bacterial small subunit ribosomal RNA
Source: RNAcentral
GCGUUAAUCGGAAUUACUGGGCGUAAAGCGCACGCAGGCGGUCUGUCAAGUCGGAUGUGAAAUCCCCGGGCUCAACCUGGGAACUGCAUUCGAAACUGGCAGGCUUGAGUCUUGUAGAGGGGGGUAGAAUUCCAGGUGUAGCGGUGAAAUGCGUAGAGAUCUGGAGGAAUACCGGUGGCGAAGGCGGCCCCCUGGACAAAGACUGACGCUCAGGUGCGAAAGCGUGGGGAGCAAACAGGAUUAGAUACCCUGGUAGUCCACGCCGUAAACGAUGUCUACUUGGAGGUUGUGCCCUUGAGGCGUGGCUUCCGGAGCUAACGCGUUAAGUAGACCGCCUGGGGAGUACGGCCGCAAGGUUAAAACUCAAAUGAAUUGACGGGGGCCCGCACAAGCGGUGGAGCAUGUGGUUUAAUUCGAUGCAACGCGAAGAACC